This is a long non-coding RNA of Ornithorhynchus anatinus (platypus), 510 nucleotides long. RefSeq lists it as uncharacterized. NCBI's taxonomy places the organism in Eukaryota, Metazoa, Chordata, Mammalia, Monotremata, Ornithorhynchidae. The transcript is spliced from 3 exons. The record is from RefSeq and is a predicted model, not a curated record.
CCAGCACCUGGAACCGGCCCUGGAUUUCUGUUCUUCACUGCAUAACCGAAGCAACUGCGCCGCUGCCUCCAGCUUGCAGCCCCCACCGCUUGGGGUGACAAAACACCACGAGAGACCGAGGUCCAGCAGGGGCGGGAGGGGGAACGGCAGAGGGUAAGGAGGAGGCCUAAGAAGGACACGGCACACACAGCAGCACAGCUAUUCCAAAGAUCUCAGCUCAGAGGGCACAGAAGCACCGAGAACGCCUUCAGAUCGAUCGGUGGAGGAAGCCUAGCACACCCCAUCCUCUGACCCACCCGCUCAAUUCAGGGGCGGCUUCCGGCGGCAAUCAAGCUCCAUCUACGCCUGCUGCCGUCUCGAUGCUUGCCAUCGCCGUCUUGGAGCCCUCAGCCAACUGGAAAAGGAGCAAGAAGCGAAACAACCACGGCAUCCGGUGCUGCUGUCUCAGCCACCCCAGCUGCUGGGCCUGGCCCUCCCCAGGGACCACUAAUGGUGGAAAUUAAGCUAGGA